Molecule: ribosomal RNA, 1387 nt
Filed under: metagenome
Description: SSU rRNA
Rfam family: Eukaryotic small subunit ribosomal RNA
Source: RNAcentral
ACCAUGGUUGUAACGGGUAACGGGGAAUCAGGGUUCGAUUCCGGAGAAGGAGCAUGAGAAAUGGCUACCACAUCUACGGAAGGCAGCAGGCGCGCAAAUUACCCACUCCUAGAUCGGGGAGGUAGUGGCGAAAAAUAACAAUACCGGACUCUAUGAGGCUCGGUAAUUGAAAUGAGUACAGUUUAAAACCCUUAACGAGGAUCUAUUGGAGGGCAAGUCUGGUACCAGCAGCCGCGGUAAUUCCAGCUCCAAUAGCGUAUAUUAAAGUUGUUGCAGUUUAAAAGCUCGUAGUUGGAUCUCGGGCACCAGUUGGUGGUACGCUUUAUUGCUGUUACUGCCUGUCUGGUCCUAAUCAAUCGGUUGGCCGUUGACGCCCUUUAUUGGGUGUUUUCGGUAGCCGGUUCGUUUACUUUGAGAAAAUUAGAGUGCUUAAAGCAGGCCUUACGCCUGAAUAAUGUUGCAUGGAAUAAUAGAAUAGGACCUCGGUUCUAUUUUGUUGUUUUGUAGAGCAUUGAGGUAAUGAUUAAUAGGGACAGACGGGGGCAUUCGUAUUGCGGUGUUAGAGGUGAAAUUCUUGGAUCGCCGCAAGACGAACAACUGCGAAAGCAUUUGCCAAGAAUGUUUUCAUUAAUCAAGAACGAAAGUUGGAGGUUCGAAGACGAUUAGAUACCGUCCUAGUUCCAACCAUAAACGAUGCCAACUAGCGAUUAGCUGCUGUUAAUUAAACGACACAGCUAGCAGCUUCCGGGAAACCAAAGUUUUUGGGUUCCGGGGGAAGUAUGGUUGCAAAGCUGAAACUUAAAGGAAUUGACGGAAGGGCACCACCAGGAGUGGAGCCUGCGGCUUAAUUUGACCCAACACGGGAAAUCUCACCCGGCCCGGACACUGUAAGGAUUGACAGAUUGAGAGCUCUUUCUUGAUUCGGUGGGUGGUGGUGCAUGGCCGUUCUUAGUUGGUGGAGCGAUUUGUCUGGUUAAUUCCGAUAACGAACGAGACUCUAGCCUGCUAAAUAGUACGAAGGUCUUUAGCCUUCGCGUACUUCUUAGAGGGACAAGUGGCGAUAAGUCACACGAAAUUGAGCAAUAACGUCUGUGAUGCCCUUAGAUGUUCGGGGCCGCACGCGCGCUACACUGAAACGAUAAGCGUGUUUUUCCUGCUCCGAAAGGAGUGGGUAACCCGCUGAAACCGUUUCGUGAUUGGGAUCGGGGCUUGAAAUUAUCCUCCGUGAACGAGGAAUUCCCAGUAAGCGCAAGUCAUAAGCUUGCGUUGAUUACGUCCCUGCCCUUUGUACACACCGCCCGUCGCUACUACCGAUUGAAUGGUUUAGUGAGAUCUUCGGAUUGGUCCGGAGGUGGCCGCAAGGUUGCCUCUAGGUACUGAGAAGAUG